RNAcentral lists this ribosomal RNA (468 nucleotides) under uncultured bacterium. RNAcentral's name for it is "partial 16S ribosomal RNA". It matches the Rfam family "Bacterial small subunit ribosomal RNA", at positions 28 to 507 of the family's 1533-position model. The record is from RNAcentral.
GAUGAACGCUGGCGGCGUGCUUAACACAUGCAAGUCGAACGGAAAGGCCAGUGCUUGCCCUGGUACUCGAGUGGCGAACGGGUGAGUAACACGUGGGUGAUCUGCCCUGCACUUCGGGAUAAGCCUGGGAAACUGGGUCUAAUACCGGAUAGGACAAUGGUUUGGAUGCCGUUGUGGAAAGUUUUUUCGGUGUGGGAUGAGCUCGCGGCCUAUCAGCUUGUUGGUGGGGUAAUGGCCUACCAAGGCGUCGACGGGUAGCCGGCCUGAGAGGGUGUACGGCCACAUUGGGGCUGAGAUACGGCCCAGACUCCUAGGGGGGGCAGCAGGGGGGAAUAUUGCACAAUGGGCGCAAGCCUGAGGCAGCGACGCCGCGGGGGGGAUGACGGCCUUCGGGUUGUAAACUCCUUUCGCUAGGGACGAAGCGUAUUUGUGACGGUACCUGGAGAAGAAGCACCGGCUAACUACGUG